CCGCUUAUUGAUAUGCUUAAACUCAGCGGGUAGCCCCGCCUGACCUGAGGUCUCGUUGGGAGCGUGCGUGCACGCAAAGGGUCGUCGAUGGGUCCAGAACUGACCGGCUCACACGUGAUUGGUCUCGAGCGUGGCUCAUCCACCAUUUUAUCACGGCGAAGUCGGCCAUGAACCCAGAUUUCAACCAACCACGAGGCGGGUGCUCGCGGGAGGUCAGCAUACACCCCGCGCAGCAACAUUGUUACAUGUUUGCGUUGGGGAAACGAUGUGUGACACCCAGGCAGGCGUGCCCUCGGCCUAAUGGCUUCGGGCGCAACUUGCGUUCAAAGACUCGAUGGUUCACGGGAUUCUGCAAUUCACACCAAGUAUCGCAUUUCGCUGCGUUUCAUCGAUGCUUCCA
Molecule: unclassified non-coding RNA, 400 nt
Filed under: uncultured fungus
Lineage: Eukaryota; Fungi
Description: sequence contains ITS1
Source: RNAcentral